AUAACGUAGCGAAAGCUACGCUAAUACCGCAUACGAUCUACGGAUGAAAGCGGGGGAUCGCAAGACCUCGCGCGAUUGGAGCGGCCGAUAUCAGAUUAGGUAGUUGGUGAGUAAAGGCUCACCAAGCCGACGAUCUGUAGCUGGUCUGAGAGGACGACCCAGCCACACUGGGACUGAGACACGGCCCAGACUCCUACGGGAGGCAGCAGUGGGGAAUUUUUGGACAAUGGGGCGCAAGCCUGGAUCCAGCAAUGCCGCGUGCAGGAUGAAGGCCUUCGGGUUGUAAACUGCUUUUGUACGGAACGAAACGGUGAGCUCUAAUACAGUUUGCUAAUGACGGUACCGUAAGAAUAAGCACCGGCUAACUACGUG
This 372-nucleotide ribosomal RNA is filed under the name uncultured bacterium. Its description in RNAcentral is "bacterial SSU rRNA". It matches the Rfam family "Bacterial small subunit ribosomal RNA", at positions 143 to 507 of the family's 1533-position model. The record is from RNAcentral.